UUACGUUGGGUCAGCUGUCGUCAUAUUAGUGCGGGAGCCAGCGACAGUUCUUGAUGACCAAAGACGUUUAUUUCGUCAUCGAUGGCGGAUUUCUACUGCACAACGUCAGAUGGCCGCGUGGAACAUCAUUUCAUGUAAUUUACGAAUUAUACCACUCGCAUAUCAUCAAAUACGGAGAAAAUUCUUCGCUCGUCUUCGAUGGAUACAGCAACGAAUAUAUUGGCAUAAAAUCGUACCAGAGGUACCGCCGACGACAACAAAAUAUGGCACCGGAUAUUAAUUUCACAGAGAGCAAACUCGUCACUUUGAGCCAAAAAAGAUCUCUGUCGAAUGUGAUGAACAAAAUGAAACUGGUGCAGGGACUGUCGGAAUUUUUACGUAGCCGUGGUGUGAACGUGAAAGUUGCACAAAAAGAUGCGGACACGCUUAUAGCGAGGACAGCGAUUCAGCUAAUUGUAAGGCAAAGUACGGGCUGCGACGUGGCAGUUGUUGGUAAUGACACCGACCUGCUGGUUUUAUUGAUCGGUUUAGCGUAUUCCAGCCCUCUGUAUUUUUACGAGAUCACGCUAACUGGUAAAAACAAUACUUUGUAUUAUACAGAAGACCAUGCACAUCUGAAUCCGUAUAUUUUAUUUGCCCACGCAUUAGCUGGAUGUGAUACGACGAGUGCCAUGUACCGCAAAGGAAAGAAGAGCGUCAUAUCCAUUCUGCAAAAGAAUGUCCAUCUACGGACCGCUGUAAAAACGUUCUACAACGCUGCAAGUACAAUCGAGAGUCUGUGUGAAUGUGCGGAACGAAUAAUAGCACAUUUAUACAGCUUCGACAAUUCGAAUUGGUAGCUCAGUGAUGCUCGGUACGAAAAAUUUUCAUCGCUGCUCGUGCACAGCAAAUUGGAAAAUCGAUUGGCGGUUUUACCUCCAACGCAACCCGUCCUGCGAGAACACGUAAAACGCACGUUCUAUCACGUGCAAUCGUGGUUGGACGACGACUUGAAUCCACAGGAUUGGGGCUGGAAGAGAACGACCACGAUGUUGAUUCCUGUCAUGAACGCUAAGAAAUCAGCGCAUGACAAUUCGUUAACGAUGGUACAAUGUGCAUGCACUGAACAGUGCAAACACUAUGGAGGACAAUCCUGCUCCAAUUUUUCAAUCAGUACGGUCGAUGAUGACAUUACAGCAGAAGAAAGAGACGAGGAUAACGAGGAUAUUCCGAUUAAUGAAUUCCUAGAUAUUGCCGCAGAACUGGACCCCGAUGAUAUUGAUUACGAGGAAGGUGGCGAAAGUGACGAAGAAGAGGAUGUAGAAAUCGAAUACGAUUUUGAAGAGAUGUAAAUAAAUAAAUAGAUUUUGUGUUUCGUAAAAAAUUCGUCUCAUCUUUUGUUCUCUAAAUGUUCGAACCACCCUUCAGUG
This 1409-nucleotide unclassified non-coding RNA is filed under the name Neodiprion lecontei (redheaded pine sawfly). RNAcentral's name for it is "uncharacterized LOC107216526, transcript variant X1". Lineage: Eukaryota; Metazoa; Arthropoda; Insecta; Hymenoptera; Diprionidae. The record is from RNAcentral.